Molecule: long non-coding RNA, 1610 nt
Filed under: Marmota monax (woodchuck)
Lineage: Eukaryota; Metazoa; Chordata; Mammalia; Rodentia; Sciuridae
Source: RNAcentral
CAAAUGGGAAACUGCACUAAUCAACAUGAACUUAAAUCACAGUUGAUCAUUGUUUUAUCAUGAAUAUUUCUAAGUGAUAAUGAGACAUCCGAAACUCAAAGAAAGAAGUUGAAUGAGGAUAACUGACCCCUUGGUCUUCCUAAGAGUCAUGAAGGAUGAAAGGAUGUGGUCCAUUACAUCCCUCAUCUGGUGCCCUUUUGGAAUAAUUUCUUGUCUUGCCUCAUUUGCCAACACUGGGUAAAUGUACUACCCAAUUGCCAAUUUUCAGUUUGUUUUGUAUUUUGUCAGUAGCAUUUAACAGGGUUGAUCUCUCCCUUCUUCUCCAAGCAGCUUCAUGAGCUCCUGAUGCCUCUUUCUGCUGGUUUAUUCAUGAACCUCCCUGGCUAUCUCAUCAUAGUGUCCUUUGAGGUUCCUUCCUCCCUAUUUAAGAUCUACUAUUUGGAAGGUCUAAAGUUGGCGUAAAGACUGCAUCUCUGUUGUAAGCUAAUCGCUGUCAAGAUACAGUGAUUCAGGGUGAUAUUUUCAAAUAACUUCAUUCUUAGAACUUUCAAGUUCAUCUCUCAAGUUUGGAUGAUUCUAAUUCAGUUAGCAGACAAGUUUUCACUGGACCUCACUGACUUUGAUGUUGGGUAGGCCUCUCCAACUUAACGUUGCCCAAAAUUGUGCCAUGAUUUCUACACCCUUCAAAAAAAUUCCUCUUAUACUUUCCCCAUCUUGGGUACCGGCUUUCCCCUCUUUCAGGUUGCCCAAAGCUGAAAUCCUUGUUGCUUUCUCCCACAUCCCACAUUCAUCCGUCACCAAAUCCUUCUGGCUCUGACUUCAAAACAAGCCUAGAAUUUUCUGACUGCUGUGGGCCUCCUUCACGAUGCUGAUCCUUGCCAGCGAGACCUGCCUCCAGGUCACUCUGCUUCCACACACACUGCCCUUCCCGUAUGGUCUCAGGACAAUUGUUAGAGUGACCUGAGAUGUAAGUCCUGUGUCUGCUAACACCCUUCCAGUGGCUUCCCAUCUCAUUCAGAUUAAAAGCCAGGGUUCUGCAGUGGCUCAGAAGGAUCUCUGUGAUUUGUUUUCACUCUGCUCAUCUCUAAUCUCCUAUCACUGUCCUCCUCACCACCAGGUCCUUUGGCUUUCCUUAGACAUAGAGGGUCUGAUUCUGAGCUUAGAGCACAUUCCACCCUGGGAAGCUCCUCUCCCAAAUGGCUUCCUUCCUUUCCUCUUUCAAGGUCUCUGCUCAGAUAUCACCUGACCUCUUAGUCUUCCUUGACCACCCUAAAACACAGCAAUGGCUUUAACCAGAUUUGGCUAUGUAUAGUGUGAAUAAUGGCAAAUAAUAAAUCAACCUACCGUGGUGAAACUUACCACCAUUCCCCUCGACAUCUACUCGAUUUGCUGUACUUAUUGAUUGUAUCACUGAUUUUGUGGUAUAAUAUAUAUUUGUUUCUUUAUGGCCCAUUUGCCACAAGAGUAAAGGAACUUUGUCAACUGUGCUCACGGCUGUAGUCCCGUUGCCUAAAAUACCACCAAGCACAAAGGAAGUAUUUGACAAGUAUUGUUGAAUGAGUGAGUGACUAUAUAAAUAGAAAGCAGUUAAUGGUGGGUUAGGAAGUGCA